AGCGAACGCUGGCGGCAGGCUUAACACAUGCAAGUCGAACGGGCAUAGCAAUAUGUCAGUGGCAGACGGGUGAGUAACGCGUGGGAACGUACCUUUUGGUUCGGAACAACACAGGGAAACUUGUGCUAAUACCGGAUAAGCCCUUACGGGGAAAGAUUUAUCGCCGAAAGAUCGGCCCGCGUCUGAUUAGCUAGUUGGUAGGGUAAUGGCCUACCAAGGCGACGAUCAGUAGCUGGUCUGAGAGGAUGAUCAGCCACAUUGGGACUGAGACACGGCCCAAACUCCUACGGGAGGGAGCAGUGGGGAAUAUUGGACAAUGGGCGAAAGCCUGAUACAGCCAUGCCGGGUGAGUGAUGAAGGCCCUAGGGUUGUAAAGCUCUUUUGUGCGGGAAGAUAAUGACGGUACCGCAAGAAUAAGCCCCGGCUAACUUCGUG
Molecule: ribosomal RNA, 435 nt
Filed under: uncultured bacterium
Lineage: Bacteria
Description: partial 16S ribosomal RNA
Rfam family: Bacterial small subunit ribosomal RNA
Source: RNAcentral